This 74-nucleotide transfer RNA is filed under the name Candidatus Acetothermia bacterium. Its description in RNAcentral is "tRNA-Gly". It matches the Rfam family "tRNA". Rfam says of the family: Transfer RNA (tRNA) molecules are approximately 80 nucleotides in length. Their secondary structure includes four short double-helical elements and three loops (D, anti-codon, and T loops). Further hydrogen bonds mediate the characteristic L-shaped molecular structure. tRNAs have two regions of fundamental functional importance: the anti-codon, which is responsible for specific mRNA codon recognition, and the 3' end, to which the tRNAs corresponding amino acid is attached (by aminoacyl-tRNA synthetases). tRNAs cope with the degeneracy of the genetic code in two manners: having more than one tRNA (with a specific anti-codon) for a particular amino acid; and 'wobble' base-pairing, i.e. permitting non-standard base-pairing at the 3rd anti-codon position. Lineage: Bacteria; Candidatus Bipolaricaulota. The record is from RNAcentral.
GCGGAUGUAGCUCAAUGGUAGAGCAUCGGCCUUCCAAGCCGAUUACGCGGGUUCGAUCCCCGUCAUCCGCUCCA